This 545-nucleotide ribosomal RNA is filed under the name uncultured bacterium. Its description in RNAcentral is "bacterial SSU rRNA". It matches the Rfam family "Bacterial small subunit ribosomal RNA", at positions 8 to 526 of the family's 1533-position model. The record is from RNAcentral.
AGAGUUUGAUCCUGGCUCAGAACGAACGCUGGCGGCGUGGAUAAGACAUGCAAGUCGAGCGCUGAUUACGAGGUAGCAAUAUUUCGUAGUUGGAGCGGCGCAAGGGUGCGUAACACGUGGGUAAUCUGCCAUGAAGUUUGGGAUAACUCGCUGAAAGGCGAGCUAAUACCGGAUGUGACGAUUGGAAGGCAUCUUCUGAUCUUCAAAGUUGGGGACCGUAAGGCCUGACGCUUCAUGAUGAGCCCGCGGCCUAUCAGCUAGUUGGUGAGGUAACGGCUCACCAAGGCUAAGACGGGUAGCUGGUCUGAGAGGACGACCAGCCACACUGGAACUGAGACACGGUCCAGACACCUACGGGUGGCAGCAGUCGAGAAUUUUUCACAAUGGGGGAAACCCUGAUGGAGCGACGCCGCGUGGGGGAUGAAUGGCUUCGGCCCGUAAACCCCUGUCAUUCGCGAACAAUGCCUGUGUAUUAACACCAUACAGGUUGAUAGUAGCGGAAGAGGAAGGGACGGCUAACUCUGUGCCAGCAGCCGCGGUAAUAC